AUUGAACGCUGGCGGCAGGCCUAACACAUGCAAGUCGAACGAGUGGCGGACGGGUGAGUAAUGUCUGGGAAACUGCCCGAUGGAGGGGGAUAACUACUGGAAACGGUAGCUAAUACCGCAUACCAUCGGAUGUACCCAGAUGGGAUUAGCUAGUAGGUGGGGUAACGGCUCACCUAGGCGACGAACCCUAGCUGGUCUGAGAGGAUGACAAGCCACUCUGGAACUGAGACACGUGCCAGACUCCUACGGAAGGCACCCUUGGCGAAUAUUGCACACUGGGCUCAAUCCUUAUGCAGCCAUGCCGCGUGUAUGAAGAAGGCCUUCGGGUUGUAAAGUACUUUCAGCGAGUAGGCGUUACCCGCAGAAGAAGCACCGGCUAACUCCGUGCCAGCAGCCGCGGUAAUUC
This 406-nucleotide ribosomal RNA is filed under the name uncultured bacterium. RNAcentral's name for it is "partial 16S ribosomal RNA". It matches the Rfam family "Bacterial small subunit ribosomal RNA", at positions 30 to 526 of the family's 1533-position model. The record is from RNAcentral.